Molecule: ribosomal RNA, 539 nt
Filed under: uncultured bacterium
Lineage: Bacteria
Description: bacterial SSU rRNA
Rfam family: Bacterial small subunit ribosomal RNA
Source: RNAcentral
UAGGGAAUAUUCCACAAUGAGCGAAAGCUUGAUGGAGCGACACAGCGUGCACGAUGAAGGCCCUCGGGUUGUAAAGUGCUGUUGCAAGGGAAGAACAGUUAGUUGAGGAAAUGCUUCUAAUCUGACGGUACCUUGUUAGAAAGCGAUGGCUAACUAUGUGCCAGCAGCCGCGGUAAUACAUAGGUCGCAAGCGUUAUCCGGAAUUAUUGGGCGUAAAGCGUUCGUAGGCUGUUUAUUAAGUCUGGAGUCAAAUCCCAGGGCUCAACCCUGGCUCGCUUUGGAUACUGGUAAACUAGAGUUAGAUAGAGGUAAGCGGAAUUCCAUGUGGAGCGGUGAAAUGCGUAGAUAUAUGGAAGAACACCAAAGGCGAAGGCAGCUUACUGGGUCUAUACUGACGCUGAGGGACGAAAGCGUGGGGAGCAAACAGGAUUAGAUACCCUGGUAGUCCACGCUGUAAACGAUGAUCAUUAGUCGGUGGAAGACUACUGACGCAGCUAACGCAUUAAAUGAUCCGCCUGAGUAGUAUGCUCGCAAGAGUG